RNAcentral lists this ribosomal RNA (531 nucleotides) under Lachnum sp. FC-2117. RNAcentral describes it as "eukaryotic LSU rRNA". It matches the Rfam family "Eukaryotic large subunit ribosomal RNA", at positions 80 to 625 of the family's 3401-position model. The record is from RNAcentral. Lineage: Eukaryota; Fungi; Ascomycota; Leotiomycetes; Helotiales; Lachnaceae.
UCAGUAACGGCGAGUGAAGCGGUAACAGCUCAAAUUUGAAAUCUGGCUCUCUCAGGGUCCGAGUUGUAAUUUGUAGAAGAUGCUUUGGGUGUGGCUCCAGUCUAAGUUCCUUGGAACAGGGCGUCAUAGAGGGUGAGAAUCCCGUAUGUGACUGGUGGCCUUCGCCCGUGUAAAGCUCUUUCGACGAGUCGAGUUGUUUGGGAAUGCAGCUCAAAAUGGGUGGUAAAUUUCAUCUAAAGCUAAAUAUUGGCCAGAGACCGAUAGCGCACAAGUAGAGUGAUCGAAAGAUGAAAAGCACUUUGGAAAGAGAGUUAAACAGUACGUGAAAUUGUUGAAAGGGAAGCGUUGGCAACCAGACUCGCAUGCCGCUAAUCAUCCGGGGUUCUCCCCGGUGCACUUGGCGGUUUACGGGCCAGCAUCGGUUUUGGUGGUGGGAUAAAGGCCUUGGGAAUGUAGCUUCUUUCGGGGAGUGUUAUAGCCCUCGGUGCAAUGCCGCCUACCGGGACCGAGGACCGCGCUUCGGCUAGGAUG